RNAcentral lists this transfer RNA (73 nucleotides) under Candidatus Iainarchaeum sp. RNAcentral describes it as "tRNA-Arg". It matches the Rfam family "tRNA". From Rfam's summary of the family: Transfer RNA (tRNA) molecules are approximately 80 nucleotides in length. Their secondary structure includes four short double-helical elements and three loops (D, anti-codon, and T loops). Further hydrogen bonds mediate the characteristic L-shaped molecular structure. tRNAs have two regions of fundamental functional importance: the anti-codon, which is responsible for specific mRNA codon recognition, and the 3' end, to which the tRNAs corresponding amino acid is attached (by aminoacyl-tRNA synthetases). tRNAs cope with the degeneracy of the genetic code in two manners: having more than one tRNA (with a specific anti-codon) for a particular amino acid; and 'wobble' base-pairing, i.e. permitting non-standard base-pairing at the 3rd anti-codon position. The record is from RNAcentral. Lineage: Archaea; Nanobdellati; Candidatus Iainarchaeota; Candidatus Iainarchaeia; Candidatus Iainarchaeales; Candidatus Iainarchaeaceae.
GGACCCGUAGCGAAGAGGAUAUCGCAGCGCUCUCCUAAGGCGCAGGUCGUGGGUUCAAAUCCCACCGGGUCCG